This is a long non-coding RNA of Hyaena hyaena (striped hyena), 298 nucleotides long. RefSeq lists it as uncharacterized. The transcript is spliced from 3 exons. The record is from RefSeq and is a predicted model, not a curated record. Lineage: Eukaryota; Metazoa; Chordata; Mammalia; Carnivora; Hyaenidae.
AAAAAAGUACCACCGAGGACAGCAUGGGGAAGGAUGAAGACAGCAACUGGCCGGUUCUUCAGUGUGUGGCACAUGGCACGGCCUCAGUGAGAAGCAAGCCAUUUCAUGAAGAAACUGCCCAGCACUAUUGCAGAACAGUGCUCUGUAGAGGAUACAAACAUUUCUGCAGGGUGACAUAGUCCUUACCAGAACUCCAGAACAUCUCUGCAGUAUUAUCUUCCACAUUUUCUCCCAGAACAAAAAUGAGGCUGCCCAGCAUUGAGAAUCUCUUGAUCAAUAAAAUAUGAUCACUACAACA